GCGGCGGCAGCGGCAAAAACUCUGGCUGUGUCCAGGCCUGGCUGACGCUGGAGGCAGCGCCCAGGAUUUUUUUCCCACUUGUUGGCUCUUGCUAUUGAGACCUAAUCUUUUUCUACUGAGAUGAAGUCCCUGUUUAUUUUAAGUCCCCGUUGCUCGCUUGCCUAUUUCUCGGUCAGACUGCACAUUGGCUGAAGGUCCCGUCAAUCUCCGGGGGGAAAACCAGCCUUUGGACACCUCGGAAAAAUAUUGCUCUGAACCCCAUCGUGCUGAAAUGAGGGGUUCUGAAGAAAACCAAGAGAUUCGGAAAAUGGCUCCAGAUCAACUCAAGUCGGACACCCCUACUUCUACCCAUGCUUCAGAGUGCUGGACAAGAUGUUGAAAAGAAAGCAGACCUUUAUAGAACCUUUCAGUUCUUACCAUAUAGAUAACCAGAUUCUCCAGCUACUGAGAGAAGAGUGGGAGAAGAGACCAUUCCCAACACUUCCAAUAACCCAGUGCUAUGGACUGAAUUGUGCCCCCAUCAAACUCAUGUGUGACCCCUGGUGUAAUGGUAUUUGGAGACGGGGCCUUUGGUAGGAGUGAGGAAUCAAAACCACCUGUAAACUUUGCAAACAAAAUUCCAUUAAGAGUUUGAUAAUAGUGUGUUACACUUACAGAAUAAUUUAGGGAGAAAUGGUCUCCUCAACCAGGUAUUUAUCUUAUCUCUUCAUUUUUUCAAGACUUCCUUUAUGUUUCAGUAAAACUUCAUGCUUUUCUUUUUAUAACUCUUUGAUGUUACUAAGUAUAUAUCUAGAAAAUCCGUAGGUUUUAUUGCUAUUGAGAUUUUUUUUUUUUUUUUUUGUCUUUUUGCCAUUUCUUGGGCCGCUCCCACGGCAUAUGGAGGUUCCCAGGCUAGGGGUCCAAUCAGAGCUGUAGCCGCUGGCCUACGCCAGAGCCACAGUGAUACGGGAUCCGAGCCGAGUCUGCAACCCACACCACAGCUCAUGGCAACACUGGAUCCUCAACCCACUGAGCAAGGCCAGGGAUUGAACCUGCAACCUCAUUGUUCCUAGUCGGAUUCAUUAAUCACUGUGCCACGACGGGAACUCAGAAAAUAAGACUUUUUAAAUUACAUUUUUCAGUUGGUUAAACAUGCUAUAUAGGACAGCGCUAUAUAUAUGUAUAUAUUGCUUAUGACUUAUUAUCUUACAAAACUGUCUUAUUGAUUCCUUUGGAUUCUUUUUUUUUUGGAUGGAAAACAAUCAUACAACUGCAAAUAACAAUAGUUUUCUUACUUCUUUUUCAAUAUGUGUACCCCUUUUAUGCCUCUUCUUAUCCCAUUGCAUUUUGAAGAGAAUGAUGACACUAAAGAUUCCCUAUCUCAUAUAUUUUUCCCACCACACAUAUUUUCCCACCCCAUAUAUUGUCAGUCCAUGCCAAUCACCUUACAUACCAUCUUUCAGAAGUUAACAGCUGAAUUUGCUUGUGUUAUAUGACCCUUACUUAUUAAUCACCAUGCCCCAUCUGGAUCACUCACCUAUAUCAUAUUUAUCUUUUUUGGUUUUUUUUGGCUACCCUGCAGCAUAUGGAGUUCUCCUGGGCCAGGGAACAGAUCUGAGCCAUAGUUGUGACCCAAGCUGCAUCUGUGGCAAUGCCAGAUCCUUAAACCACUGUGCUGGGCCAGGGAUGGGACCUGUAUCCCAGUGCUCCCAAGUUGCCCCUGAUCCAAUUGUGCCACAGCAGAAACUCCUUGUAUCUAUCUUUUAAGGCCCAAUUCUAUCCCUUGAUUAAGACUUUCCAUGUCAUGUCCCAAGUUUUUGCCACUGAAAUGCACCAAUUCUGAGAAUCAAAGUAGUGUUAAAACCUGAAAUGCAAUGCAAGAAGUAUCCCUUAAGGAAGGCUGACUGGUUAGCAUAAAGAUGCCUCCCUAGGUGGUAUUCUGUAGGUGAAGUCACCUUAUUUCCUAUUCUGGGACAAACGCAAAACUGAUUAGCAUUUUAGGACACCCCCCCAACCCUGAGAGGUGAGAGGUAAAGAAAACGCUCAUUAUCCAAACUUUAUAAUUUUCUAACCAAAAUGUCCUUUUGCUAAUUAUUUCAACAAGAUGAAAAUUUUCAUUCUCUGAUUAUCAAUUUUUCUUCUUAAUGGUCUGGGCAUGAAGCUACAUUUAUAGAUAACCAGAAGGGUAUUUUGUAGAAUCAAAACAAGUAAGAUUUGAUGUUAUUUUAUAGUUUAUCAAGAAGGGCUGGCUAAAUAAUGGUACAGCUUCACAAUGGAAAAUAUAUCUAAAUUUAUAGUGCUAACAUGAGACACCAUGACAAUAUGAAUAGUAACUAUCAUUUUCAUGAACAAAUUAAACCAUAUUUAUCCUUGAAAUUUUCAGUGAGUAGAACUUAAAUGCACUUACCAAAAAAUAGGUAUAUAAUUUUGUCCAAGGUAGGGUAAUUCAGUUCAACCCCUCUGAGCACAAAUUUGGGGCAGUUAGAUUUCCAGGCACAGUCCCUCCCCUUGGAGUUUAUAGGAGUCCUGAGAGAAUCCACAUGGAUAGAGGUCAGGCAUCUUCCCUAAGGGGCAGUCAAGAGUUGUGAAAUGGAUCAUUAAACUCCAAAGAAUCUAUUUCAUGCUGCAGUCAUAUUCCAGGUAGGGUCUCAGCAAAACAACAUCGUGUCACAUCAAAUAUUGUUCAUGGGACUUAUUUUUACUUUUUUUUUUUCUUUUUAGGGCCACACCCAUGGCAUAUGGAAGUUCCCAGGAUAGAAGUCAAAUUGCCACAGCCACAGCAACACAGGACCCGAGCCGUGUCUGUGACCUACACCACAGCUCACGGCAAUAGCUGAUCCUUAACCCACUGAGCAAGGCCAGGGAUCAAGCCCAUGUUCUCAGGGAUAGUGGUCGGAUUUGUUAACCGCUGAGCCAUGACGGAAACUCCCUUUACUUUGUUUAUAUUGAAUUUGUAAAUACAUUUUGGUUUUAUAGCUAUGUAAGCCUAAGACAUUCUUGGUUUUCUCUAGAAAUUAGGGGUUUUAAAGAUUGAGAAUUCUGAUUAAUAUAUGUAAUUGGAACUACUAAAAUUAAUAAGGGAAACAUCUUUGUUAAGGGAAAAGAAAGUAAUUUUGUUCUAAGAGGUUAAAAAAAUAGAGAAAAAGGGAAAGAAUGGGACAAAAUGUGAAAGUAAAAAAGGAAUUACAGAAGGUUCAUGGAAAAGAAAUGCUGAGAAAAGAAUAUUGUAUGUAAUCAGUACUGGCUAACACUGGAAUAAAUUAAAUUGAAUGAAUAAAUUUUAAUAUUAAAGGUAAGCGCUUUCAAAACUAGAAUUUGGUUUUCUCUCUGUUACGAGGACAGAGUUUUCUUGGAGUAUUAAUCUGCUUUUGAUAAUAGAUUGUAAAGUUUCUUUACCUUUUAAUGCCCUAUAAUAACUUUCUGUAGUUUGCUUUUGAAAUUUUUAUUGUCACUUUGGUUAAAUGAUUAACUGAGUAUGGUUCCACAGUGGCUACGAUCAAGUGUUUCCUUUUAAAACCUUUUGAUAUCUUUGACAAACCUCCCCAAAUAAAAUUGUAAAUGAAGUUA
This 3546-nucleotide long non-coding RNA is filed under the name Sus scrofa (pig). Its description in RNAcentral is "lncRNA (ENSSSCG00030057900.1)". Lineage: Eukaryota; Metazoa; Chordata; Mammalia; Artiodactyla; Suidae. The record is from RNAcentral.